CGUGGAGGAACGUGACGCUAGAGAAGGCGCUGCUUCUUUGCACAUGUUCGACAGGGCCGUGCUAAAAGAGCUGGGUCUUCUUCAACUUCAACAACUUUAUUCUGGGUCUUGCUGCCUGAGUGUCCAAGAAGAGGGACUGUAAAGAUGUACCAGGCUGUGGAAAGAACCCGCAGAAAACCCACUGGGACACAAGGAGAGCGACCCUUCUGCUACACAAAUUCCAGGCAAACUAGCUGUGGCAGAUUUCUCUAAAGAAAACCUUCAACCUGGAGCUUACGGAGAAUAAUA
Molecule: long non-coding RNA, 288 nt
Organism: Solea senegalensis (Senegalese sole)
Lineage: Eukaryota; Metazoa; Chordata; Actinopteri; Pleuronectiformes; Soleidae
Exons: 4
Source: RefSeq, a predicted model, not a curated record